RNAcentral lists this long non-coding RNA (831 nucleotides) under Zea mays. RNAcentral describes it as "long non-coding RNA (ZMAY_LNC005529)". The record is from RNAcentral. Lineage: Eukaryota; Viridiplantae; Streptophyta; Magnoliopsida; Poales; Poaceae.
CAGAAAGCAAUCGAGAGGAGAACCAGCAGCCUCCAAUAAGAGCCAGCCAGAGAAACUAAUAAAACUCUCACCGCCGCCAUCCGAGAGAACAAGCCAACCGACCCCGUCCCCAAGGCAAUCCGUCGCCGACGUACCACCGCCACCGCAGGAGCGAGAUGGAGAUGAAGAGGAUCCUCUUCGCCGUCCUCGUCGUCAUCGCCGCCUCGGCCACCGCAGUGCUGGCCUCCACCGAGGCCGCCGCCGCGGGCGCCCCAACUGCCUCCGAGUCGUCCGCCGAGGCUCCCGCUGGCGCUGGCGCUGGCGCUGCCGCUGGCGCCGCCGCCGCGGGGCCCUCCGCCAGCAGCGGCGCGCCCGCCCUCGCCGCCGCGCCCGCCGCGCUCCUCUUCUCCCUCCUCGCCUACUACCUCCACUAAGCGUGUGCGUGCUUACGUACGCGCGCAUGGACGACGAUGGAUCCGUCCACCGUUGCCAUUGCAGUUGCCUCGCUCGUUCUUGGUGACUGUUGCUGCGGUGGUCGACUUGGAAGACGUCACCUGCACCGCUGUUUCCAUAUAUUAUUAUUGAUGUGAUCUGAUAUGAAUAUAUAUGCAUGGUGACGGGUUGUGUUAAUUACAUAGACGUGAUUUAAUUUAUCUAUUUGUGUCAAGUCGUUCUGUAAUCAUGCGAUGAAAUAUAUGAUUUGGUUUUCCAUUUGUUUGAAAUGCACAUUGUGUCCUCCUCUCCAUCUUUUACCCAAGUCCAUUCGACUUUCCCUAACUAUAGCAUGGAUUUAUCUUUCUUAACUAUAAAAUUAGUUUUUUAGAUUCUUCCAAUUAGAAAACCUCCCUGUUG